This is a long non-coding RNA of Artibeus jamaicensis (Jamaican fruit-eating bat), 329 nucleotides long. RefSeq lists it as uncharacterized. The transcript is spliced from 3 exons. The record is from RefSeq and is a predicted model, not a curated record. NCBI's taxonomy places the organism in Eukaryota, Metazoa, Chordata, Mammalia, Chiroptera, Phyllostomidae.
AGGACGCGGCUGCAGGGGCAGGGCUGGAGGAGGGGGUCCGGACACGCUCAGAGGCUGGCUGCAAGAGACCCGACUGCCUUGGAGAGCCGGAGCGGCUGCCGGGCGGAGCUGACAGCAGACCCCCUAGUGCCGGAGCCCUGCGCUUUCGGGUCCCCUGCUCCUCACACCGACCUCGCGCUCAAGGUCUGGUUUCACCGGAGGUCUUCUCUCUCAAAUAUUUCCAAUCUCCUUCUCUAUGGACUCCUUCCCAUUAGCAUGUGUCAUGUCUAGAAAUUACCUCCAACUUACACUGUGAAGUCUGGGGCACUGUAUCGCCUGGAUCAGAUGAG